GAUUUAAAAAAUUUGAUCACUGUAUCCAAAACAAGAUGUUAAGGAGCAAAAAAGAAUUGGAAAAGUUUAAGUUUACUUUCCCGGCAAUAUGGUAUACAGAAACAGUGUUCAUGAAGUGGAACAAUUCAAGAACACGCAACUUAUUUAUUCUUCAGCAACAAACCAAUGCCUUGAAGAAAAGGAGUUAAAAUAUUCCUUGCACAUCGAAUAAAAAAGUUAAAAAGACAUUCCUUCCAUGAAAGUUCUAAGAAACUUAAUUGUCAUCGA
Molecule: unclassified non-coding RNA, 267 nt
Filed under: Hevea brasiliensis (rubber tree)
Lineage: Eukaryota; Viridiplantae; Streptophyta; Magnoliopsida; Malpighiales; Euphorbiaceae
Source: RNAcentral